This 462-nucleotide ribosomal RNA is filed under the name uncultured bacterium. Its description in RNAcentral is "partial 16S ribosomal RNA". It matches the Rfam family "Bacterial small subunit ribosomal RNA", at positions 28 to 507 of the family's 1533-position model. The record is from RNAcentral.
GACGAACGCUGGCGGCGUGCUUAACACAUGCAAGUCGAACGGUAAGGCCUUUCGGGGUACACGAGUGGCGAACGGGUGAGUAACACGUGGGUGAUCUGCCCUGCACUUCGGGAUAAGCCCGGGAAACUGGGUCUAAUACCGGAUAGGACUGCGCGGUGCAUGCCGUGUGGUGGAAAGAUUUAUCGGUGCAGGAUGGGCCCGCGGCCUAUCAGCUUGUUGGUGGGGUAAUGGCCUACCAAGGCGACGACGGGUAGCCGGCCUGAGAGGGCGACCGGCCACACUGGGACUGAGACACGGCCCAGAAUCCUACGGGAGGCAGCAGUGGGGAAUAUUGCACAAUGGGCGCAAGCCUGAUGCAGCGACGCCGCGUGAGGGAUGACGGCCUUCGGGUUGUAAACCUCUUUCAGCAGGGACGAAGCGUGAGUGACGGUACCUGCAGAAGAAGCACCGGCCAACUACGUG